UACGUAGGGGGCAAGCGUUAUCCGGAUUUAUUGGGUUUAAAGGGAGCGUAGGUGGAUUGUUAAGUCAGUUGUGAAAGUUUGCGGCUCAACCGUAAAAUUGCAGUUGAAACUGGAAGACUUGAGUGUGUUUGAGGUAGGCGGAAUGCGUGGUGUAGCGGUGAAAUGCAUAGAUAUCACGCAGAACUCCGAUUGCGAAGGCAGCUUACUAAGCCAUAACUGACACUGAAGCACGAAAGCGUGGGGAUCAAACAGG
Molecule: ribosomal RNA, 253 nt
Filed under: uncultured Parabacteroides sp.
Lineage: Bacteria; Pseudomonadati; Bacteroidota; Bacteroidia; Bacteroidales; Tannerellaceae
Description: partial 16S ribosomal RNA
Rfam family: Bacterial small subunit ribosomal RNA
Source: RNAcentral